RNAcentral lists this ribosomal RNA (457 nucleotides) under uncultured bacterium. RNAcentral's name for it is "bacterial SSU rRNA". It matches the Rfam family "Bacterial small subunit ribosomal RNA", at positions 29 to 507 of the family's 1533-position model. The record is from RNAcentral.
AUUGAACGCUGGCGGAAUGCUUUACACAUGCAAGUCGAGCGGCAGCGCGGGGCAACCUGGCGGCGAGCGGCGAACGGGUGAGUAAUACAUCGGAACGUGCCCAGACGUGGGGGAUAACUACUCGAAAGAGUAGCUAAUACCGCAUACGAUCUACGGAUGAAAGUGGGGGAUCGCAAGACCUCACGUUAUAGGAGCGGCCGAUGUCCGAUUAGCUAGUUGGUGGGUAAAGGCCUACCAAGGCGACGAUCGGUAGCUGGUCUGAGAGGAUGAUCAGCCACACUGGGACUGAGACACGGUCCGGACUCCUACGGGAGGCAGCAGUGGGGAAUAUUGGACAAUGGGGGAAACCCUGAGGCAGCGACGCCGCGUGGAGGAUGAAGGAUCUAGGUCUGUAAACUCCUUUUAUCGGGAAAGACUUAGGACGGUACCCGAUGAAUAAGCACCGGCUAACUACGUG